Molecule: ribosomal RNA, 492 nt
Filed under: uncultured bacterium
Lineage: Bacteria
Description: partial 16S ribosomal RNA
Rfam family: Bacterial small subunit ribosomal RNA
Source: RNAcentral
AGUGAACGCUGGCGGUAGGCCUAACACAUGCAAGUCGAACGGUAGCACAGUAAGAGCUUGCUCUUACGGGUGGCGAGUGGCGGACGGGUGAGGAAUACAUCGGAAUCUACUUUUUCGUGGGGGAUAACGUAGGGAAACUUACGCUAAUACCGCAUACGACCUACGGGUGAAAGCAGGGGAUCUUCGGACCUUGCGCGAUUGAAUGAGCCGAUGUCGGAUUAGCUAGUUGGCGGGGUAAAGGCCCACCAAGGCGACGAUCCGUAGCUGGUCUGAGAGGAUGAUCAGCCACACUGGAACUGAGACACGGUCCAGACUCCUACGGGAGGCAGCAGUGGGGAAUAUUGGACAAUGGGCGCAAGCCUGAUCCAGCCAUACCGCGUGGGUGAAGAAGGCCUUCGGGUUGUAAAACCCUUUUGUUGGGAAAGAAAAGCAGCAGGUUAAUACCCCGCUGUUCUGACGGUACCCAAAGAAUAAGCACCGGCUAACUUCGUG